UUGUAUAUAGUGAAAGAGUCUCCUGCCAUGAUUCAGACUUGACUUUUCUAGCUUUUUCCAUAGAUAAGCACCAGCCUAGGAGCUCUCAAAGUUGUUUCAGCUAAAGGACACACUCAGCUUUUGGUCUACAGUGACUUUCAGCCUAAGUGGCUCUGGACACUGCUGGAACCCCCCGACUCCAUCUCCCUCCAUAAAUAUGUCUCUGCAGCAGCUCGGUCAAGGAGUGUGAUGACUGGCGAGCAGAUGGCUGCCUUCCAUCCAUCGUCCACCCCCAACCCGCUGGAGAGGCCCAUCAAGAUGGGCUGGCUGAAGAAGCAGAGGUCCAUCGUGAAGAACUGGCAGCAGAGGUACUUUGUGCUGAGGGCUCAGCAGCUCUGCUACUACAAGGACGAAGAGGACACGAAGCCCCAGGGCUGCAUGUAUCUACCAGGAUGUACAAUCAAGGAGAUCGCCACAAACCCAGAA
RNAcentral lists this small RNA (465 nucleotides) under Pongo abelii (Sumatran orangutan). RNAcentral describes it as "processed transcript". The record is from RNAcentral. Lineage: Eukaryota; Metazoa; Chordata; Mammalia; Primates; Hominidae.